UUCAUGGUAGAUAUCCCACCCACUUGCACGAAGCGCUUCGCUUCAAGCUUCCUUGUGCGAACUGCUAGGGAGUGGAACUCCUUGCCGGAGUCUGUGUUUUCUGAUGGGUACAACCUGGGUGUCUUCAAAGCCCGAGUGAAUAGGUUGCUUAUGGGCAGACGUGCUCCAUCGUAGGCCGCAUCAUCACUUACCAUCAGGCGAGAUAGCGGCCAAACGUCGACCUAUCAAAUGUAAAAAAAUAAUUAAAUAGUAUAUACUCCUUUUUAAAAGGCCGGCAACGUACCUGUGACUCCUCUAGUGUUGUGUUGUCCAUGGGCCACGCUGAUCGCUUACUUUUAGAUGACUCGUUUGCUUGUUUGCCACCUAUUCCAUAAAAAAAAACAUUUUAAAGAACCCUUAGGGUUCAGAGAUGUGCUAUGAUACGUUGCUGUGGAUGCGUUUGGCUUCCACCAAUCAUAUUUAUUGGUACACGGUUAGCACUGGUGGAAACGGACUCAGUUAAGAUACGUCUUUUAUAUGGAAAGAUGCGUGCUAUGGAUGGCUUCCCUACUACCAAUACAUUGCAUACUCGAGCUGCGCAUCUUCAUCGCACAGCUACAUAGCUUAGUAUCAGUGGAAACUGUCACAUAGUUUCACAGCUUAGCUAUUAUAUCUUCUUAGCAUAGCUACAUAGCAUGGGAAAAGCAUGGUGGAAAAGCAUCCUUAAACUAAAAUAAUGUCGCGGUGGCCUAAAGCAUUGGAGCUUUAAGACAUAAGAGGCUUCUCAUAAUAAUAUGAGGGUUCGAAACCUACCAACAGCAAGUACCAAUGUGACUUUUUCCGAGUUAUAUGUACUUUCUAAAAUUAUUUAGACACCACUAACAAACGGUGAAGGAAAACAUCGUGAGGAAACCUGGGCUUAUAAUUUCAAAUUAUAAGUUUAAAAUCGCCAACUCACAUUGAGCAAGCGUGGUGAUUAAUGCUCAAACCUUCUCCAUGUGAGAAGAGGCCUUUGGUCAGCAGUGGACACUUAUAGUCUGUUGAUGACGAUGAAGCCAAAAUAGGUGACUUUUAGCGAAAUAUUGGUUUUAACCAUCCUAUAAGUGACAACUAACAGUACAAGUAAGGGGUUAGUUUAGGUGCUAAGACACGCUAAGUAACUCUUAAGAGAGGGGGUGGUUGGUGAAAAGGGCCAUAAGUCUUGUAU
Molecule: long non-coding RNA, 1186 nt
Organism: Spodoptera frugiperda (fall armyworm)
Lineage: Eukaryota; Metazoa; Arthropoda; Insecta; Lepidoptera; Noctuidae
Exons: 2
Source: RefSeq, a predicted model, not a curated record